Molecule: ribosomal RNA, 235 nt
Filed under: uncultured bacterium
Lineage: Bacteria
Description: partial 16S ribosomal RNA
Rfam family: Bacterial small subunit ribosomal RNA
Source: RNAcentral
GACGGGUGAGUAACGCGUGGGUACUUGCCUCUCGGUACGGGACAACCCCGGGAAACUAGGGCUAAUACCGUAUAUACCGAUUUUGGUGGUUCUUAAUCGGGAAAGAUUUAUCGCCGGGAGAUAGACCCGCGUCCGAUUAGCUAGUUGGUGUGGUAACGGCGCACCAAGGCUUCGAUCGGUAGCUGGUUUGAGAGGAUGAUCAGCCACACUGGGACUGAGACACGGCCCAGACUCC